Molecule: ribosomal RNA, 497 nt
Filed under: uncultured bacterium
Lineage: Bacteria
Description: partial 16S ribosomal RNA
Rfam family: Bacterial small subunit ribosomal RNA
Source: RNAcentral
GAUGAACGCUGGCGGCGUGCCUAAUACAUGCAAGUCGAGCGAACAGACGAGAAGCUUGCUUCUCGGAUGUUAGCGGCGGAGGGGUGAGUAAUAAGACGAUAACCUCCCGAUAAGACUGGCAUAACUUCGGGAAACCGGAGCUAAUACCGGGUGAUAUUUUGAGUCUCUUGCUUCAAAAGUGAAAGACGGUCUUGCUUUCACUUAUGGAUGGAUCCGCGCUGCAUUAGCUGGUUGGUAAGGUAACGGCUUACCAAGGCAACGAUGCAUAGCCGACCUGAGAGGGUGAUUGGCGACACUGGGACGUAUGCACGGUCGAGACGCCUACGGGAGGCAGCAGUAGGGAAGCUUCCGGAAUGGGGGGAAGAAUGACGGAGCAACGCCGCGGGAGGGGUGAAGGUCUUCGGAUCGUAAAAAUCUGUUAUUAGGGAAGAACAUAUGUGUAAGUAACUGUGCACAUCUUGACGGUACCUAAUCAGAAAGCCACGGCUAACUACGUG